Molecule: non-coding RNA, 976 nt
Organism: Monodelphis domestica (gray short-tailed opossum)
Lineage: Eukaryota; Metazoa; Chordata; Mammalia; Didelphimorphia; Didelphidae
Source: RefSeq, a predicted model, not a curated record
GUCAUCUGUAAAAAUGAGGAGGGCUGCGUUCUAGUCUCUUUUCCAGUUCUACACUGCGUGGAAGGCAGUGGGACGCGAGCACUACAAAUUCCCCACCCCGCCAAAGCCGGUCUAAUUAGUAACUGACAGCCGGUGUCUCGGACCCAUUAGUCCAUCACAGCCUCCUCCUCCCCCAACCAGCGAGCUAGGGGGAGAGACAGAAGAGGGAGGGCCGUAGUGGCAGCCCCGGGGGGCACAUCUGACGGGAAAGCCUAGCAGCCCAGCGACAAAAUCCGAUAAAUAUUUAGACUCAAGUGGGAGGAGAGAAGUGAAAAAGUGUCCAACGGUUUCUGAACACGGCACACACGCAGGAGCCCCUCCUUGCCCAACAACAGUUUCCAUGGCGCCUUCGACUUCCCCUGUGCACGAGACACACGCAGCCCCACCCAGCUUCCCCGGAGGUUUGGACUCCGAGCCGGGAGUUGAGGGGCGCCACGAUCUCCCCCGGCUUCCUCUAACCCCAUGGGGAGAAAGUGGGGGUGGGACCCCCUGGCCUUGCCAAUACUCCCCCCUCCCCCACGCAGAUGAUCUAAGAGUUUCUCAUUUCAUUUCAACCUCAAACCUGAACUCCAGACUGACCUGAAUCAUCUUUUCCCAAAAAUAAAGAAAAAAGAGAAAAAGAACAGUUCAGCAAAAUUAACCUACAAUGCAACCAAGUCUGACAGUAUAUGCAAUGUUCCACACUUAUAGACCUACUUCUCCGAUGAAGGUCAUUGGCCUCCUUGCACAAAUAACUCAAAACAAUCUGCCUCCAAGAAGCUUUCCCUGACGAAAAGUCCCAUUUUACUGUUAAGAACUUUGCAUGCUCUUCAACUUAGAUUUAUUGCAUUAAAAAAAACAAAACAAAACAUCCUUACCUUUCAUCUUAGAAUCAAUAUUAUGUUUUGGUUCCAAGGCAGAAGAAUAGUAAGGGCUAGACAAAGGGGGUUAAGUGACU